Long non-coding RNA from Canis lupus familiaris (dog), 7959 nucleotides. RefSeq lists it as uncharacterized. The record is from RefSeq and is a predicted model, not a curated record. Lineage: Eukaryota; Metazoa; Chordata; Mammalia; Carnivora; Canidae. The transcript is spliced from 2 exons.
CUCGUCCCCAGGAGCGGGUCAGCAGCCAGCCACUCCAGCGGCCUCCUUCUGCUCUGGGGCUGCAGGGAGGAGGAGGGCGGUGUCCGAAGGGGGCGUGGUCGGCGUGUCUGCCACCCCGUGAAUGCACACUUACGGCCACGCGUUUGUGGGCACGCGCUGAGCAGAAACGUCCCCGUGAGCUGAGUGCCCGGGAUCCGAUUCUUCUGAGCAGCCCGGGAAACUGUCGGCUCCGUGUCCACCCCGACAGGUGGGAUCCCAGGAUCCUGGCCUAAUCCCUGGGUCCGAGCCCCAGCCCCCACCUCCUCCGGGUCCCAGCCUGUCCCCGGUGUGCUCUCAAGGAGGCCUGGAGCGGGGCGCAGGAGGGAGUCCAGCCCCCGGAGGUGGGCCUGAGCCCGGAGGCCUGUCAGCCUGCCCAGCCCCGCUGCGCGCUGUCACCUCUUACUGGGCAGAUGGCGGCUCCCCCAUCCUCACCUCCUCCUCUGGCCACCGCCAGCAGCAAGGGACCUGCGCGUCUGCAGGCCCAGGGCAACCCGUGUAUACGCCCUGUCCCUGCGGGGCCGACCCUGUGACUGUUGGCCGCCUCCCUGAGCCCGAACGUUCCAGGAACUGCUCUCCUGGCUGAGCCUGGAGCGGCAGAUGGCGCGACGCCCUGCGGAGUCUGACAGAGGCUUUGUCGGUUUAACUGACGGUCUCCAGGGAGCCAACUGCCGGCGGUGAUGCUGACCGAGUUGGCCUCUACAAGCCAGGAAGAGAUCCCUCACCAUCAACAAACCCUCCUGGACCUAGAUCUUGGACUUUGCAUCCCCAGAACUGUGAGACAUAAAUUUCUAUUGUUUAAGCCAUUCAGUAUAUGGUAUUUUGUUAUAGCAGCCCGAGCAUGCUACAAAUUCGGGAACUACAUUUUUUCCUACUAAUGCCCUGUGAUUCUCUAGGUGAGCUACCUAUCAGGCAUUGUGGAUUUCAGUAACGAAUCCAAAUAGAUCAAACGUGUUUCAAAUAAUCGGGGAGCUUCUCUUAAUAACAGUUCUCCUUUGCCAAGGCUCUGCAUUAGGGAGGUAGUAGGUACUAUCUUGCCCAAUCUUCACGAUCACCUUAUAAAGCAGCGUGUCCACUUAACAGACAAGGAAACUGAGCCUCAGAGAGGUGAAGUGAUUUGCCCAAGAUGAUCCAGCUGGGGCCAACCAAAGUCAAGAUGAGAUUCAAGACAAUUCUGCUACCUUCCUGUCUUUUGCCUGGAAACUAGAUGACAGUUGCAGAUGACUGUGACAUUGUCCCCAUGAAAACGAACCCUGGAGGAGAGAGAGGUACUCCUCACCAAACACCCUGUGCUUCAGCCUUCUCCCAAGCUCCCCACCCACAUCCCAAACAUUUCGGAUGAAUGGAACCCGCCUCUGGACAGGUACUUUUUGCCUACCACCCCCUCCACCCGCAAUAGGACUCCUCCAUCAGGCUGCCUUGGAUUAAUUACCUAAUUCCCUGCAGCCCGGGUGCCUCCCUAUUGAUUUCUACAGCACACAGGCCGGUGCAGGAUUCAGGCAUCCAGGUGGGAGGGCGUGAGAUACCAUGGAAGGCAUGGCAGGGGGCAGAGAGGGCACAUCUAUCAGAAGAGGCCCAACUCCCUGGCACGUGGACAUUUUGCCUAGUGGCGCUUUGGAGAACAACUGGGGCAGUUGAUGGAUGAGUCAGGAGGAAGGGAACGAGGAGAAGGCCCUGGAGAAGGGGAAAGCGGAAGGGAGGCCAGGUCUGUCCCCUCCCACAAUGGAAAUUCAUUUCUCCUUGAGCACUCAGACACUGGCUUCCCCGGAGGGGCCUCCCAAAUCUCUGUGGCCGCCUCUCCGUGGCGGACACUGCCUUCUUGCCUUCUCUGUAGCCCCCAGGCCUCUGUGGGUCGGCAUUGGCCGCUCUGGCUCUGCGGCUGGCGGCCCCCGGGGUGCCUCUCUUGAGAACCCAGUAAACGUUAAACCGCUCCAGGCAAGAGCCACGUCUCCUUCCCUGGGGUUGCAGCAGCUCCAGUCACAGGGUGCCUGGCACACCCAGAGACUGUCGGCUGGGAGCCAGUGCUUCUGGGGAUGCAAGGACAAGUGAAUGUGUCCUGUACAGAGCGUGCACCGGGGAGCACUCACGGUGGAAGGGCCUCGCUCGACCCCAGCUCUUUGGCUGCAACGGCUUUGCAGCUCCGAUCGGGAAUCAGAAUGCUGCUCCCUGCCGGCCGCCGGAGGGCGCUCCGAGCCAACUCACCCAGAGGCGGGAGGCGCGGGAGUCCCGGCGGCCGCCGGUGUCAGGCGUGGGCGGUCACAGUUUGCUGGGAGAGCAGAGGCAAGAAAAUCACCAAAUUGAUGGUGGCCUGUUUGCUGGAUGAACAGGGCAGGAAAAACCCCACCAGGGCGCUGGGGCCACGGUGGUGCUGAGUCCUGAGCUGUCUUGUCUGGUCCCUGCUUUACCAAUGUCUGGAAGUGUGGCCUUAAGAAAAUCAUUCUCUUCUCUGGGCCUGGUUUCCUUCUGUGAAAUGGCUGGACUCCAGUUCCAGGCUGUCGGGGGACGUGAGCUCUCAGAACCCUCCUGGGCGGUAGGUGUGCAUGCAACUCAGACCACGCACGAGGUUAGUCCCUGCUUUCUGCCUCUCUCCGGGAAUCGCAGUCACCGGCACUGUGCAAGCCUGCAGCCCUUGCUGCAGUAGGAACUGCUAAUGUCCUGGAUGCUCCCCGUAUUCUUCAUGAGAUGAUCCAGGCCCAACCAGAGGAGUGAAACAUUCAGGAGAGCCGAAGCAGUCCGGGGCAUCCUUCAGAAGUGAGCCUCAAAUGGGCACAUGCAGGAGAAAACUAUUCACACAAGUUCUUCCAAAGCACAGAGAUGAUGAUGGCUGUAAUAUAAGAUGCAUUCUUGUGCGUAACAGUAGAGUGACAUGCAAAUGCAUGCGGCACCAUUCAGGAUGGGGGCAGCCUUGGAAAGGAGACCACAAGGAGGAAGGAGAGAAGGAAUUGUUUCUGUAGCAUUCUAUUUCAGAAGAGGCAGGCAGACCUCAAGCAUCUGUAGCAAAAUGUCAACUCCGAUAAAUCUGGUUGGUUCUUAAAUUGUUCUCCAUAAUCCUGUGUUUGACCUAUUCUUUUUUUUUUUUUUUUUUUUACCUAUUCUUUUAACUGUAAAGGAAAAAAGAUUUAUAGUUAUUUUUAAGAUAACAGAGUCCACCAGACUCUCGGAACACCUCAGAACGGAACUGGCCUAAGGCAGUUCCCACCCCCCACCCCAACAGAACUUUCCAUAGCUAAAGACAUGCGGGCAUAGAGAGUCUUAGGUUUUCCAGGCCCAGGUGGGGCAGAAUGAUCCUAAGGGAGGGCAGCACACUGUAGGGGAGGUACCAGGCCCUGCUCUGAUCUAAGCAGCCCUAGAGAGACACGGAUCUAUGGGGCUUUGUCUUCCUCAUCUGCAAAAUGGGAUGAUGUUUGUCCUCUCUACUGAGUUAGGACUUGCCUUAAAUGAGGUUAUUUGUACAAAUAAUGACCUGGCUGAAAAUAAUGAUAGAAGCAGGUAAACAGUUAUUUACUUGUCAAGCUAGGAGUCCCAAGGUCUUAUUAGUAACGUUAGCAAUAACGUGGAAGAAACGAAGGGAGGCCGUACAAAGGAGUAUGGAAAGAAGGAAAUGUGAGUAGGAAAAACCUAGUGAUGAAAGCUUAAACCUCCAAGGAAAGAGCUCCUCUUUCUAGAUCCCAACUCAAGGCCUGUCUUUCAAAAUAAUGAAAAUUAUGUUCUGUGAAAAAUGAUCCCAGUGGUCAUUGUGAUAAGAAUUUAGAACAAUAUUUGUAUAUCUCACCACAGUGACUCAACGGUUAUUUCCUGUGAAAGCCACAGGGCUUCAGUUUUCAGAGUUUAAAUAAUGGGCAUAGAGAUACCCCCAAAGAGACACUUAUUAAAUGGCAAUAUAGAAUAAACUGGAAGAAAAGGAGAAAAAACAUCAAGCUGCUCACUGCCUUGUUUCCAGCUGAGACUCUGUUCCACAGACCCUGCGGGAGCGACAUGAAUUGGACAGUUUCCUGAGGCCCGGGUUAACUGGGUAGGCUGCAGACUUUCGAGGGGGAACGGUGUUGGGGGAGGAGGGCAGGAACAAGUCAAUGUGUCUUCUAGAAACCUGUCACAAAGAAAAUCCAAACCCAUCAAAUGGACACUUUGCAGGAGGAUUGUUAAUGGUAUAAAAGAGUGCUCGAAGGUUCACCCACAGAGACUUUCUGACAGCCGAUGUCAGGAUCAGCAAAAGCAAAAUGCGCAGUGGGUGGCCGUAAACUGGCCCCUCUCAGCUCUGCUCCUUAGGCCUGUCUUCUGCUCAGUGUCCCCUGUUUCUCUCCCCUUAUACCAGGCCCAAGGAUCCAGGCUUCUCCACCUCUCUCACGGCAUUCCUAAUAUAAUCAGCUUAUCUACUCCAUGCUGUUGCAGGCUUUAGGUAAUCUCCCUUUCAGAAGGACCCCCAAAUUCAAAGAGAAUGCUUGAGGAGGGCAGCACAGUGAGGUCAAGGGCAUUGCCAUCGGAUGGACCUGGAUGGGAGCCCUAAUCCCCACAUGUGGUAGUCAUUCUCCGCCACAGCCCAUGGUGAUCCUACCUUUGGUAUUCAUGUCCUUGCCAGUUCCCCCCAUAUAUUGAAUCAAGGCUGGUGCUAGGGGACCAAUAGAACAUUGUGGACAUGACAGUGUAUGAAUUUUGAAGCGAGGUCACAAAAGGCAUUGUGGCUUCUGCCUUGACCUCCUGGAUCACUCUUUCGGGGGAAGCCAGCUAUCACCUAGUGAGAACACUCAAGUUGCUCUCACCCACGUGGAGAAGAACUGAUACUUCCAGCCAAUAGCCAGUACCAAUUUGCCAACCUUGGCUGUGAAGCCUCUUUGAAGUGGGGUUUUUAGCCCUAGGAGACAUAUAACUGCAGCAUUGCGAGGGACCUUGACUUUGAGUCACCCAGCUGAGCUGCUUCUGAACUAGCUCACUGAAACUAUGAAAGAUAAUCACUGGUGGUGGUGGUGGUGAUUUUAAAUCCUACAUUUGGGGGCAAUGUGUUACAUGGCCAUAUUAACAAGAACUUCACCUUUCUAAGUAGUGGUGACAGUCAAGGCUGAUAAUCAUUUAGGAGACAACUAUACACCCCUAUUAAUUGUUAAAAUAUUGAACUAUUUCUAUGCUGCUUUGUAAAGAGUUUGUACAUGAAUUAACGAUCUUAGGUGGCGUGUUCCCCAAGGUCCUUUGCAAAGGCAAAUCAAAUCCUCUUCGGAAGAAGGGAAUAUUAUCCUUGGCCUUAAAUUGUUUCAACAAAUAUUUUACAAAUGCCACGUCCAGCACGCAACCAAAGACGACCCAAGAUAUGGUCAAAUGCAGAAUUUUCUAGCCACCCAGAAAAUAUCCUUCACCCAUAGCUUCUGUGGUGGAAAAAUUAAGCAAUAUGAUGGUGAUGGAUUGAGUGUGUGGUGGAGAGGGAGAAACCAAAGGUUGGAAGGGAUGCAAAUGGGCCUAAUGAAAGAGGGAAGAGGCUCCAGUUGCUUCCUCAAACUGGGACCCAGCUCUGAGAACAGCAUAGAGCAAACCCCUCUUCUCAGUGCUUCAGAGCAUAGCUGGACCUCAGGUGCAGUCUCCAGAGACCCCUAUAGCCCAGAUUUUCGUUUCUCUACAAACUCCCAUCUCCAAGCUUGGCUGGAGAAUGGUGAAAUUGUUUCUUGAAGGUGGCCCAAACCAUGGACCCAUGAAAGGGACUAAAGUGUUUAGAAGAUUCUUAGCUGAAUGUUCCAGACUGCAUUAGAUCCAGAGACUCCUAGAAAACAUGCCUAAAGGAAAAUGCUUCUCCAUCCAGGAAGCUAUAUCAGAUCUAGAGGAAAAAAGGUAAUUUUUUUGCAACAAACAAUGUAAAAUAAAAUUAGAACCCACUCUAGGACAUUAGCAAGAUCUGUAGCAAAUUCCUCAUUAUGCAGAUGAGGAAAAUAGGAGCCGGAAGAUUAGAAAGUGAGUCCUAGCCUGCUGACCCACACUGUGUGCAGCUCUGCCCUGGUGGGUGUUGUCACAUAUGAUUUCUACCUUACUCUCAGGCUACCAAUACCCUGAAUGUCAUAGACCACCUGGCACUUCUUUCUCAACAAGCUAAUUUUGGCCCACACAAAUGGAAAGGCUCGGUUUGACAUCAUUUGAAGUAUCCUCUUUUUUCUUUCUUGAACUAAAUUUCAACAUCCAUUGUUUUUUCCAGGCAGACAUCCACACAAAGUCUUUCUCUGGACCCUGCCAACUCCUCAUGGCAUAGCAUUUUGAGUGGUAGUAUCUAGAAUAUCUUAUUUCUCUGAGCCUUUGUUAAGAAUUUUAUAUACCUAUAUACUCCGACAAAUAGGAGCUUCUUCCUUCCUCUUUAUAACGUCAUUUUGAUUAAUGAUUCCCCAGUGGAGCAGAUGGUGUGGUCAGAAUGUGCCAAGGGCUCCCUGCCCCAUGAGGAGAUAGGCUCCUGUCCCUAGAGAUAUUUGAGCGGGAUCUCAGUGACGGUCUGCCAGUCUCUCGAGUGAAGGAAGUUGCUUCAGGUAUUGAAGGUUAUUUCCAGAAUUAAUCAUUAUACAUAAAAUAUUUUGAUUCCUCACCAUUUCUGGGGUGCAUACUCUGCCUUGCCAAUUGCCCUCCCCCCAUCCUAUCUCCAUUCAUAGUGAUUUUUUUUUAAGGUUUUUAUUUAUUCAUGAGAGACACAGAGAGAGAGAGAGGCAGAGACACAGGCAGAGGGAGAGAAGCAGGCUCCAUGCAGGGAGCCCGACGUGGGACUCGAUCCAGGGUCUCCAGGAUCAGGCCCUGGGCUGCAGGCGGUGCUAAACCGCUGAGCCACCGGGGCUGCCCCCACAGUGAUUUUCAUUCCCUUCUUCUCUGCACCUCCAUGGCAACCUCUGUCAUGGUCUGGAGGGACCCAGCUGUUAAUCCCAACUUGACCACCAAGUAGCUAUGAAACCCUGAGAAUUCACUAACUCAUGUGGACCCCGGUCUCCUUCUCUCCUCUUGCAUCAUGGAGCUGCUGUGGAAAGAGUGAUCAUGAAUAUGAAGGACAAGCCAGUAUCCAGCACAAAGUUUCUCAGUACACAGACGCAUCUGUAGCCUGGCAACCGUGUCUUGUGACCACCGAUUCACUUGUCCUCCCUCCCUCUAGCCUCCCAGAGGGUAGGGUCUGGGUCUUCUCUAUCUGUAUCCCCAGGCCCUAGCCCAGAGCCUCACAGUUAGCAGGCACUUUAUGAACUCAUUACUCAGACAUUACCGAGGCAGAGAAACGGUGCUGUGGAUACAGGGCCAGACAAGAUCUAGACUCUCAAGGAAGUUACACUGGAGCAAGUGAGAUAAAAACAGGCAAAUGCCGAGUUCUGAGAGCUGAGUUGUAUUUUUUAGCUUUCCAUGAUCUUCUAAUAUGACUGCUCCUGCUUUAGCAUAGGUCAGAAUAAUUGACCUAGAUGGGCAAAAAGUCAUCCAGCAGGGAAGCAUUUCAAUUAAGGGCUAUUUUAUUUUCCACGGGGUCUUGGAGAGCUUAGAGAGAAAAGAAGCAAUAGUAAAAUAAUAGCAAGCAGACUGCUGCAAUUAAAUUAAAUGUGAUUUACCACAACUUAAGUAUCACUUUCAGAUAGUGUCAAAUUAAAGCAUGUAAGAAGAUUGCUGAAAAAAGACUUUUUUUUUUUCUUAUCUAAGUGAAAUGCUGGCACAGGAGUCCUCAAACGGGAAACUGCCAGAUGCUGUUUUACAUGCGUGGCAUGUUGGUGCCUAACAUCUCCUUAGUGUUUUUGAAUUCUACAUUGUCUGCAAAAUUGCCACUUCAUUAAAACUGCCUCAGAAAUUCCCUUUGCAAUGAUGCAGGUCACUGUCAUGUCUGUCCUGCCUCGUUCGUGUUUUAGGAACACAGGAGUUAUUUUCAAAAAUAUCUUUAUUUAACCUCAAAUUUUCUGCACUAUCAAAAAAAAAAAAAACGGUUAGUCAAGGAAAGGGACA